UUUCAGUUCUACAUUAAAUUAAUAUUAUUAUUCAAUAUGGAAUUAUUUAUAUCACGCUAUGACGAAUAAUAAUAUUAUUAUUCAGCAUACGAAAGCUGGCUGUGAACGAUGUGUUGUGUUGCCUAUCCACAUCAACCGAAUUUAUCAGAUAUUCGUUUUUAUUUAUUACGGAUAACCAUAACGUUUUUUUUUAUAGUAAGUAUGUCUAUUUCGCCUUUAUAAUGAACCUACC
Molecule: non-coding RNA, 232 nt
Organism: Cinara cedri
Lineage: Eukaryota; Metazoa; Arthropoda; Insecta; Hemiptera; Aphididae
Source: the annotation of a GenBank genome assembly